GCGAGAGUGGUGAAAUUGGCAUACACGCUAGACUUAGGAUCUAGUGCCGCAAGGCGUAAGGGUUCGACUCCCUUCUCUCGCA
This 82-nucleotide transfer RNA is filed under the name Chloroherpeton thalassium ATCC 35110. Its description in RNAcentral is "tRNA-Leu (TAG) (tRNA-Leu-TAG-1-1)". It matches the Rfam family "tRNA". Rfam says of the family: Transfer RNA (tRNA) molecules are approximately 80 nucleotides in length. Lineage: Bacteria; Pseudomonadati; Chlorobiota; Chlorobiia; Chlorobiales; Chloroherpetonaceae. The record is from Rfam by way of RNAcentral.